GGGUUGUGAGGUUAAGCGACUAAGCGUACACGGUGGAUGCCCUGGCAGUCAGAGGCGAUGAAGGGCGUGCUAAUCUGCGAUAAGCGCCGGUAAGGUGAUAUGAACCGUUAUAACCGGCGAUACCCGAAUGGGGAAACCCAGUGUGAUUCGUCACACUAUCAUUAACUGAAUCCAUAGGUUAAUGAGGCGAACCGGGGGAACUGAAACAUCUAAGUACCCCGAGGAAAAGAAAUCAACCGAGAUUCCCCCAGUAGCGGCGAGCGAACGGGGAGGAGCCCAGAGCCUGAAUCAGCAUGUGUGUUAGUGGAAGCGUCUGGAAAGUCGCGCGAUACAGGGUGACAGCC
Molecule: ribosomal RNA, 344 nt
Filed under: Salmonella enterica subsp. enterica serovar Stanley
Lineage: Bacteria; Pseudomonadati; Pseudomonadota; Gammaproteobacteria; Enterobacterales; Enterobacteriaceae
Description: partial 23S ribosomal RNA
Rfam family: Bacterial large subunit ribosomal RNA
Source: RNAcentral